This 379-nucleotide unclassified non-coding RNA is filed under the name soil metagenome. RNAcentral's name for it is "partial contains 5.8S ribosomal RNA, internal transcribed spacer 2, and large subunit ribosomal RNA". The stretch from base 1 to 120 matches the Rfam family "5.8S ribosomal RNA", at positions 35 to 154 of the family's 154-position model. The record is from RNAcentral.
GAUGAAGAACGUAGCGAAAUGCGAUAAGUAAUGUGAAUUGCAGAAUUCAGUGAAUCAUCGAAUCUUUGAACGCACCUUGCACCCUUUGGCAUUCCGAAGGGUAUGCUCGUUUGAGUGUCAUUGUACUCUCACACUUCCAAUCUUUGGACUGGGAGCAGUGGACUUGGGUGUUGCUGCUUACUGUGGCUCACCUCAAAUCGAUUCGUGCACCUCUUGGUUGGACAUAGUACGGCGUGAUAAGUGUCUUCGCCGGCACCUCAGUAGAGGGUGGCUGAUCAGGAGCUCUGUGCUUCAAACCGUCCUCGGACAACAACUGACAACUUGACCUCAAAUCGAGUAGGACUACCCGCUGAACUUAAGCAUAUCAAUAAGCGGAGGA